Molecule: long non-coding RNA, 1029 nt
Organism: Eubalaena glacialis (North Atlantic right whale)
Lineage: Eukaryota; Metazoa; Chordata; Mammalia; Artiodactyla; Balaenidae
Exons: 8
Source: RefSeq, a predicted model, not a curated record
AAGCACAUUUGCUGGAAACAGACCGGCCCGCGAAGAGGACUAUAAUAAGGAGAUAAUGAACAACUUUCAAGUAUAAAAAUAUAUAUAAAGAUCACAUGCUGUGGAGUCACAGGAAGAGAAAUACAGAUUCGAGGAGAAAAAGAAACAGAAUUCUCAGGACCUACAAACAAAAAUAUUUGUACUACUUGAACGUUAUUGAUGCAGGCGAUUGGUAGAGGAACCUGCAAGUGAAAAGAUUGUGAGGCCAAGAGCAUGCAAAAUAUGUUCAAGGAACAGCAAGGAGUCUGGCAUGGCUGGAGCAGAGAGAAGCACUGUUAGAGAGCAGCUGAAGAUGGAGGGAGCCAGAGGUCAGACCACAAAGCUUUGCAGAUCAUGUUUAUAUGAGCUUGAGGGUGACUUUAGCUUGGUUCAUCUGAGAAGGAUAUUUGAGCUGGAUACCAAAGCUGUGAUCUGAAGGACAAGAAGAACUUACCCAGACAUUGAGGAGAAGUCAUCGUGCUGUAUGUAAAGACACUAAUGAGAGCUGAAGUCUGAAGGACACUUCAGACGAACUGCAUACUUGAAUUUGCAGCACAGCAAGGAAUAGGCCUCCUUAAGGCACCUUUGUGGAAGAAAAGCUUCUUGCCUGGCCUGUCCAUCCCCUGAUCCAGCAUCGCAGCUGCUCCAGACACUUGGAUCACAAGCACAACUUGGUGGCAUCCUGACUGCUUCAGAGAAGCACCAUCAUCACCUUUGAGAUGGAGUCUUAGAAGGCUUUCUUCCAGCCAGUUGUAAGCAGUAUCUACAGAGGAGGAAGGCCCACUAGAAGGAUGUUGGAAUGGAGACCUAGUACCCAACAGAGUUCCAGAGACUUCCCUGGGGGCACAGUGGUUAAGAAUCCGCCUGGCAAUUCAGGGGACACGGGUUCGAGGCCUGGUCCGGGAAGAUCCCACAUGCCCCAGAGCAACUAAGCCUGUGCGCCACAACUACUGAGCCUGUGCUCUAGAGCCCAUGAGCCACAACUGCUGAGCCCACAUGCCACAACUACUG